UACGAAGGAUGCGAGCGUUAUCCGGAUUUAUUGGGUUUAAAGGGUGCGCAGGCGGAUUUUUAAGUCAGCGGUCAAAUCGUGGGGCUCAACCCCAUCCAGCCGUUGAAACUGGGGAUCUAGAGUGUGCGAGAGGUAUGCGGAAUGCGUGGUGUAGCGGUGAGAUGCAUAGAUAUCACGCAGAACCCCGAUUGCGAAGGCAGCAUACCGGUGCACAACUGACGCUCAGGCACGAAAGCGUGGGUAUCGAACAGG
This 252-nucleotide ribosomal RNA is filed under the name uncultured bacterium. Its description in RNAcentral is "partial 16S ribosomal RNA". It matches the Rfam family "Bacterial small subunit ribosomal RNA", at positions 524 to 776 of the family's 1533-position model. The record is from RNAcentral.